UGAUUAAUGCAUCAACCCCUCUAUCUUCUCUCUUGCUCUUCCCCAGGCCGCCAUUUUUUUUGGUUUCUCAACCCCCUUCAUUUGAAUUUAAAUUUUUGCUUUUAAUCUUCCUCCAUAUGUGCCCAAUUACCAUUGUUCAUUCCCACCAUCUUUCCCUACUACCCAAUUAUCUGUUAUCGUCUGUCCUAAUUCUAAUUUCAUAAACCCUAUGAAAAUCCAUAGCCUUUCCCUCCCUGAAACCCUUAUAUAUAAGGUCCUCAAUUGUGAUCCCAUGAAUCUCAUUCCAAGGACGGCCAACCCAACAGCCAAAUCAAUUUUCUUCCCCACUACUCCCUUGCCUCCAUACCUUCCUUUUUCUCUCAAUGUUUUCUUCUUUCCGGUGCAAUUUGAAAUCCUGUUCUCUCCCCUCUCCACAGUCAUCAUCCUCUCCCCCUCCUUCCGUCGCCUAACCCCUGAAACUCUCCUCAUCAUCUUCACGCAGAAGAGUUCUUCUCUGCCACAAAGAGUUCAUCCACCGUCGCCGACAACAACAUUGUUACUUACCCUGCUUCUUUUGCUUACUGCCGUUCUCCUUUACUUGCAGGAAUGAUUUCAUUCACUUGGAGGGACAACUUCUUAGAGGUGGCUCUGCAGCUAUUAGUGUUGAUUUAGCUAAUCAUGAAGUUCAACAAUUGGCACAUCCUACCCUUCCAACGGAACCGUCGCGGUGGAAUUAUAUGCAGAAGUGAUUUCUUAUAGAUUAAAAUAGCAGGGAUGUUCAUCUCAAAAUCCGAAAAUGAGCAGACUCAGGAAAAGGAAGUUGAAGUUGAUGGAAAUAUGAAAGUUGUUGUCCCAGUCAAUGGCAACUCUCAGGACUCCCUUCAAGCCGAGGAUCAUGAUUCUCCUCCUUAUAAAUGUCCCAUCCCUAUUGACGCUGAAGCCAUUGCAACUGAUUUAGCAAGCAAGAAGCCAUUGAAGAUUGUCAAGGAGAAAAUGUAUUGUUAUUGAUCUUGCUUUUAUUUUUUGAUGUAUUUUGUUGGUUCUUUGAGCCGUGGUUACCCUUUUAAGAUCCUUGAUUUAGUUUUUCUUCUUUUCUUUGUUUUCUAUUUCAAGUUGCUCUAGGAGCUGUGUACCUGGAUGUAAUGAAUGUUUCAACUGAUAUUAUGUUCAUCCAUUUGUUUGAUGCAAUGGUUACAGUUGUCAAUCAGUAUUAUUUUCAUUAGAUAUGUUUUUUUUUAAUUCAUUAGAUAUGUUUUUUUUUUAAUUCAUUAGAUAUGUUUUUUUUUAAUUCAUUAGAUAGGUUGUAGAGUUAUAUUUCCAAAUCUGUUCUUGAAUAAACUUUUUACAAAAAGUUGUUUAUUUGAUAUUUUUCCUACGUUCUAUCUUUCAACUUUUUCCUAUUUUUACGGUAAAAUGCAGGUUAUCUUUUUUUUUGAAAUUAAUAAACAAAAAGUUCUUUCU
Molecule: long non-coding RNA, 1440 nt
Organism: Lotus japonicus
Lineage: Eukaryota; Viridiplantae; Streptophyta; Magnoliopsida; Fabales; Fabaceae
Exons: 4
Source: RefSeq, a predicted model, not a curated record